RNAcentral lists this ribosomal RNA (115 nucleotides) under Salvator merianae (Argentine black and white tegu). Lineage: Eukaryota; Metazoa; Chordata; Lepidosauria; Squamata; Teiidae. The record is from RNAcentral.
CCUCAAGGUUUAGGCUGCUGCUCUGCAGUCUUGUCUGAUCUUGGAAGCUAAGUGGGGUUUGAGCCCUGGUUGGUACUUGGAUGGGAAACCACCAGGAAAUCCCAGGCAUAUAGGC